RNAcentral lists this unclassified non-coding RNA (345 nucleotides) under Hevea brasiliensis (rubber tree). Lineage: Eukaryota; Viridiplantae; Streptophyta; Magnoliopsida; Malpighiales; Euphorbiaceae. The record is from RNAcentral.
AUGAAAUGUAGGGUGUUGCUGCACUUAAGCCAGCAACUGUCUCAAAGGAUGAUACUACCAUUUGCAUUUGUUGGUGAUACUGCUUGUAUCUUCUGCAUACCUGGAGAAGAUCUGGCGGUCGAGAUCCCUGCGGAUGUUGAAGGCGGAGCCGUAGGUGAGGUCGGCGAUCAACCGCUUCUUCUCCUCUAUGUUCUUCGAGACGGUUUCACGGAGCGACUGGACGGGGUGGCCGCCGACGAUCGCGCCCUUGACGCCGUCGAGGCCGAAGCGGAGGGUGUCGUGGUUCGCCUCCAGGUCGUGAGCGAUUGAUCCCGACGCCAUCUCUGCUGCGGAUCUCGGAUAAGA